GCGAAAGAUUAACCAUUUUUAACCCCGAUCACCAUGAAGAUCAAAAAAAAGCAACACAACUUUACUCUAAUUUUUUCAUGACG
RNAcentral lists this small nucleolar RNA (83 nucleotides) under Tuber melanosporum Mel28. RNAcentral's name for it is "A. fimigatus snoRNA Afu_298". It matches the Rfam family "A. fimigatus snoRNA Afu_298". The record is from Rfam by way of RNAcentral. Lineage: Eukaryota; Fungi; Ascomycota; Pezizomycetes; Pezizales; Tuberaceae.